This 888-nucleotide ribosomal RNA is filed under the name Bacillus sp. (in: firmicutes). Its description in RNAcentral is "bacterial SSU rRNA". It matches the Rfam family "Bacterial small subunit ribosomal RNA", at positions 54 to 922 of the family's 1533-position model. The record is from RNAcentral. Lineage: Bacteria; Bacillati; Bacillota; Bacilli; Caryophanales; Bacillaceae.
CAUGCAGUCGAGCGGACAGAUGGGAGCUUGCUCCCUGAUGUUAGCGGCGGACGGGUGAGUAACACGUGGGUAACCUGCCUGUAAGACUGGGAUAACUCCGGGAAACCGGGGCUAAUACCGGAUGCUUGAUUGAACCGCAUGGUUCAAUUAUAAAAGGUGGCUUUUAGCUACCACUUACAGAUGGACCCGCGGCGCAUUAGCUAGUUGGUGAGGUAACGGCUCACCAAGGCGACGAUGCGUAGCCGACCUGAGAGGGUGAUCGGCCACACUGGGACUGAGACACGGCCCAGACUCCUACGGGAGGCAGCAGUAGGGAAUCUUCCGCAAUGGACGAAAGUCUGACGGAGCAACGCCGCGUGAGUGAUGAAGGUUUUCGGAUCGUAAAACUCUGUUGUUAGGGAAGAACAAGUACCGUUCGAAUAGGGCGGUACCUUGACGGUACCUAACCAGAAAGCCACGGCUAACUACGUGCCAGCAGCCGCGGUAAUACGUAGGUGGCAAGCGUUGUCCGGAAUUAUUGGGCGUAAAGCGCGCGCAGGCGGUUUCUUAAGUCUGAUGUGAAAGCCCCCGGCUCAACCGGGGAGGGUCAUUGGAAACUGGGGAACUUGAGUGCAGAAGAGGAGAGUGGAAUUCCACGUGUAGCGGUGAAAUGCGUAGAGAUGUGGAGGAACACCAGUGGCGAAGGCGACUCUCUGGUCUGUAACUGACGCUGAGGCGCGAAAGCGUGGGGAGCGAACAGGAUUAGAUACCCUGGUAGUCCACGCCGUAAACGAUGAGUGCUAAGUGUUAGAGGGUUUCCGCCCUUUAGUGCUGCAGCAAACGCAUUAAGCACUCCGCCUGGGGGAGUACGGUCGCAAGACUGAAACUCAAAGGAAUUGACGGGGGCCC